ACACAGCUUCUCGCAUGAAUCCACCGGCUUAGCUCUAAAGAUACACGUGAGUCUGCCAUGCAAACACUUGCUCGAUGAGCUAGGUGGAUUCUACGUCGAACCACGUGGACAUUUAACAAUUAAGGGAAAGGGUCAAAUGACAACGUACUGGCUUACGGGCAGCGACAGAUUGAAGACACUGUACGCUGUGAGCCCCUCUGAUAUGUUGGGCAAAAAUGAAGUGAAAUGAAGUGUCAACCCGCGUCAGCUUCACAACUUAUCUCGUAGCUCGCAACUUUCCUACUUUAUCGUAAAAUAAUCAUAUCACUUUAGUAUUACACUACUUUCUAUCUUUACUGUACUAUACCGUGUAUGGAUAACAUCAGGAGCAGUGGCGUACGCAGGGGGGGGGGGGUGUUUGGGGUGUUAAAC
Long non-coding RNA from Priapulus caudatus, 411 nucleotides. RefSeq lists it as uncharacterized. Lineage: Eukaryota; Metazoa; Priapulida; Priapulimorpha; Priapulimorphida; Priapulidae. The record is from RefSeq and is a predicted model, not a curated record. The transcript is spliced from 3 exons.